Molecule: long non-coding RNA, 414 nt
Filed under: Sus scrofa (pig)
Lineage: Eukaryota; Metazoa; Chordata; Mammalia; Artiodactyla; Suidae
Description: lncRNA (ENSSSCG00070024411.1)
Source: RNAcentral
UUACAGCUCUCGCUAGGCGCGCACACGCUCACCCGCGAACGCCGGAAAGUCAGGCUAAAAGUGUCUGCUGCUGCUGCUGCCGCCCCCCACUCCGCCUCCAGGAGAGAACCUAAAGAAAUGGUGUUACCUGGCAAGAGAUCUGCUAUCCUUUAUGAAAAAUCCAGCCAAGGUAAUGCUUAUUUUGAAUUGAUUUUUUAAAAUCUGUUUAACUCUGAUACAUUUGACUGUUUAAUUUUCUUGAUGACUGGUUUUGAGCUAUUGAGUAAUCCAUCAAAAAAGUAACUCAUUAUCUGAAAAGUAGAAGGAAUGAUUUUUGAUGACUACUAUAUAUGGGAAAUGAUCGGUCAAUUUUAAAAUAUAUACUAGCUUAGGAGUUCCUGUCUUGGCUCAGCAGAAAUGACUCCAACUAGGAAC